UAAGUAUACAUCCUCCAUAAUACCUCCAUAAUGUCUAAACAGUGCAGUUUAAACUCCAAUAAAUGACACAAAACUCUCAUGGUGUUUUUUUUUCUUUUCUUUCCCUGAGCAGUGUCAUCUAAACUCCACCCAAAGCGGCAGCCAUUCAAUAGAGAAGCCUUCCACUUUCAAUGGUCUGAGCUCAGGCCAAUCACAGCGUCCCCUGCCCCCCCUUGGCUCCCAGGCCUUCAGCCAACCGCAGCAGCCCUCGUUCGACACGUGACUCUAUGUGCUGCUGUCCAUCAACUGCUUCAUAUAUAGUGCAUGCAAGAAAAUGUGGAGCAGUUCAAUAACUUGUGCUGUAGCCAGGCUGUGUGCGUGUGUGUGUGUGUGUGUGUGUGGGGGGGGGGCUCAUGCACGUGGGAAUGUGUGUACUUGUUUACCUAUGUAGCACGGAAGGAGAGAGAGAGAGGGAGGGUGAGAUAGAGAAAGGGAGAGAGAGAGAGAUUUGUAAGGCACUUGUAUCUGCAAACUACUGGCUGUGGUCCCACUAGAGCUAGGGAGAUCUGACUGAAAUACAGUGUGAAAGAGUGUGUGUGUGUGUGUGUGUCUGUGUGUCUGUGUGAGUCUGGGAGAGACAGAGACACGCAGGCAGACAGACACAGAGAGAGAGAGAGAGAGAGAGAAAGAGAGAGAGAGAGAGGAACCCGUUCAACCCAUUUCAGCAGCAACUUUUCAGCCUGUCUACUCGAGGUUUCUCCACGAAUAUGGAAGCUUUUCGCUCUCUUGUGUUUGAUCCCCCCCACUGACAUCCAGUCACCGCCGAUUCAUGCUGCCCAACUUUUGGCCACGCUUUAGGCUGACUGUGAAAGAAGCGCAAGGCUCGACGGAGACAGAUGAGAGUUUUGUUGGUAGUUUUGCAGAAGGCGACGAUGAUGACAACUAUGAUGGCGUUCACCGUGUCUGCAGGGCUAUUUAAGGAAACCAAAACCUUUGCAUCACCGCCUCUCCCCGCUCCUGCUGGCUUCUCGUCAACGUCAUUUGAACCUCCACACCGACAACAUGGGUGGCAAAACAUCUUGGCAUGAAGUUGCUUCGCACAGGCCAAGAGAAACACAGAAGCACACACACAUACACACACACACACAGGAUUGUGAUCCUCACAGAACAAAGUUAUACCUAGCUUGUCUUUCUUGCUGUCGAUUAGCAUUACAAAGUUAGCAUUUUCCAUUGUGUGAACCAUCUGUGGGCUGCUGGGGCAGACAUAUAAAACACUGACAGGUCUGACAUCAUAACAGGCUCACGAAAAAAACAUAAUUUAGAUCUGGAUUUAAAUUGUAGACAUUUAUAUAUGUGGUUUGAAUGGGAACCAACAAGUGAGGGACAGAUGAGCUGCUGUGAUUUUCCACUUGUCUGAGUCAAACUGCAGCAACAAAGCCGAAUGAAAAUAAACUGGGUAGCUUGA
Molecule: long non-coding RNA, 1444 nt
Organism: Larimichthys crocea (large yellow croaker)
Lineage: Eukaryota; Metazoa; Chordata; Actinopteri; Sciaenidae
Exons: 2
Source: RefSeq, a predicted model, not a curated record